UGGGGAAUCUUGGACAAUGGGCGCAAGCCUGAUCCAGCCAUGCCGCGUGAGUGAUGAAGGCCUUAGGGUUGUAAAGCUCUUUUUGGCGGGGACGAUAAUGACGGUACCCGCAGAAUAAGUCCCGGCUAACUUCGUGCCAGCAGCCGCGGUAAUACGAAGGGGACUAGCGUUGUUCGGAAUCACUGGGCGUAAAGCGCACGUAGGCGGAUUUGUAAGUCAGGGGUGAAAUCCCGGGGCUCAACCUCGGAACUGCCUUUGAUACUGCGGAUCUCGAGUCCGAUAGAGGUGGGUGGAAUUCCUAGUGUAGAGGUGAAAUUCGUAGAUAUUAGGAAGAACACCGGUGGCGAAGGCGGCCCACUGGAUCGGUACUGACGCUGAGGUGCGAAAGCGUGGGGAGCAAACAGGAUUAGAUACCCCCGUAGUCCCUGAGCGGGCUGGCAAGGCGCAU
Molecule: ribosomal RNA, 448 nt
Filed under: uncultured bacterium
Lineage: Bacteria
Description: bacterial SSU rRNA
Rfam family: Bacterial small subunit ribosomal RNA
Source: RNAcentral